Molecule: long non-coding RNA, 1641 nt
Filed under: Citrus x clementina
Lineage: Eukaryota; Viridiplantae; Streptophyta; Magnoliopsida; Sapindales; Rutaceae
Description: Citrus clementina (C. clementina) long non-coding RNA (CCLE_LNC002941)
Source: RNAcentral
UAUUAAUAAGAUAAAUUAGAUUUUUUUUCUUAUCUCUCUACGCAAACACCGUAAAUCUUAAUCUCCUCCUUCUCAACAAUACUAUUACUAUAAUCUCUUUCAAUCUUUUUUCCCAUUUACUUUGCAUAUGGAAUCACUGCAGAAUCAAUUAUAAAAGCCCUAAACCCGUUAAAUCUUUUAUGAGAUUAAAUAUUGUGGUUACUCCGAAUAAUAUGUGCAAAAUAUAAUGCUUGUUUGAAUACACGUGAUAUUUUGACUCAAUGCUAUGUUAGAAUGUUGACCAUUUCAAAGGCCUAAAACAUGUUGAAAAGAGUACUAUGAUUUGGUUCAUGCCGUUAACCCAAGUGUUGUGUAAGCUUCUAAAGAAGUUACGAGGCUUUCCGUUUCUUCGUGGAUGAAAAGAUACGCAGCACUCUUUUUAACUCGGUUCACAAGCAUGGCAACCUACAACUUUAUCUAGUUGAAACAUAAUUUAUGUUGGGGGACUUAACAUAAGAUUUUUAGGUAUCCAACUCAAAAAACUAACCUAUUAGGUGGAGUGACCUACCAUCUUAUAAACCUAAGCAUCUCCCUUUUAUUAGUUAAUGUGGGACACAACUCAACAAUCCCCCCCUCGGACGAAACCACCGUCGGACUCCGGUCAUUUCAUCUGACACACCUGAAUUGUUCAACCACCACAUUCUGGCUACUAGGGUCUAGCUCUGAUACCACUUGUUGGGGAUACUUAACAUAAGAUUCGUAAGUAUCCAACCCAAAAAACUAACUUUUUAGGUGGAGUGAUCUACCAACUUAUAAACCCAAGCAUCUCCCUUUUACUAUUCAAUGUGGGACACAACUCAAUAAUUUAUUAUUUUUUGCUUUGCACGGUGCACGUGAUAAGCAAGUAAUCUUUAUACGUUAAUGAGAAUUUGAAAUUUUAUCAAAAGAUAAAUUUCUUGAGAAAUUUCAUCUGUUGCUCUAUCAUCCACCUCAACCUUCGGGCAAAACCAUGCAUCUCCUGUCCCGGUACUUUCAUCACCAUCAACAGGGCUAGAUCUAAUUCUGCAUAAGUCAGCAAUACAAUGAAGAAAACACCAACCCCCUGCUUGAAUUAGAUUACUUUUGGAGUUUUAAACGAUGAAAGUGAAAAAAAAAAAGUAAAAAUGAUAAAAUAAGGGUAUUAAGGGAAUUAUAUGAGAAUGAGAUUAUUUUAAAAUAUUCUAUGAAGUUAAUUAAGAAAUGGAGGCUAAUGAGAUAAUUUGAGGGGAUUAAAAAUCACAAUUCAUAUGCUCACCGAGUAGGCUUUAUCUUCUUCACCAACCUUUGUUUGUUUGCUAUUAAUUGAUGACCACCUGUGUUUGCCAUUAAUUGGUGACGUGGUUUGCUGUUAAUUAGAAGAUAAAGCCUAGAGCCUUUCUUACAGACAGGGUCCAACUAUUUUGGAACAGUUGCACUAUACUACAUCUUUUGUCUGUAUUAAACAAAUCCUUUGGAUGCUUCUUUAUUUAAUGUAAAAGCUGGGCUUAAUUAUUGGAUAAAUUAGACUGCCACCAGUAACCUUUUGAGCGGGUUGCAAUUAAUCGAUUUCAUCUUUUUCAUUUUCGUCUUUUAAGUAUUUGUAUUAUACUACAACUAUUAACCUUUUGAGAGGUUGAAAUUAGG